AUACAUGCUAUGAAAUUUAUUUAUUUAACAUUAGUAGAAGCCUGAUUGACAGAUAAAAUAUCUUCCACCAAAUCGAAUAAUGUAAUGUGACAAUAUAGAAACUGGGAUGUGUCAUUGCAAUAGUAAUCAAUCACAUUUAGGACCAAUGAAUCAGUUUCAAGGUAAAAAAAUGAAAGAGGAAACAGGAUUCUAUGACACUGAUGUAGUUGAAAGUAAAAGAAAAUUUCAGUUUCUACCCGAAUUAUAGAUUGUGAGUAUGUGCUAGAUUCCAAUGGUAGAAAAAAAUAGAAGAAAAAAAUGGAAGAAAAUGGAAGUUAAAAUAUAGAGAACAUCAAAGUCCUUAGGAUUCAUGGUCCAUGCAAUUGGAUCCCAAGAACCAUACUCUGUUAUUUGUAUCCGUACAACCGUGACUGUUUCUCAGCCUAAAAAAAGAAAAGUCUUUUUGCAGUGGUUCCAGGGGAAUAUACAAAAAUGAGUCAUCAAUGCAUACGCAAACAUGAACAAAAGUGACAAGCAAUAAGCAAACCAUGGUCAUAUAUAAAUGCAAUUCACAAUAUAUGUAAGAGAUAUCCAUACGACAAACAAUUAUUAAGGUUAAGGUCUGGAUAGG
This 610-nucleotide unclassified non-coding RNA is filed under the name Hevea brasiliensis (rubber tree). The record is from RNAcentral. Lineage: Eukaryota; Viridiplantae; Streptophyta; Magnoliopsida; Malpighiales; Euphorbiaceae.